ACGUUCUGCGCGCGCUUGGCGCGCUUUUGUGCGUGUCGAGAGCGUAUAACAUAGGUGUUCUGUGGUAUAACGUGCGCGAUAUUCGUGCGAGCGCAGUUUGACUUGAGCAAUCGUGGGCUUGGACUCCGUGACAUUUGCUUUCGUCAUAUGCGAGUUAGGGGCUUGCCGACAGAUGCAAAAGCUGCCUCCCUUAUCUGGAACAGAAUAAAUUCCUUUCGAAGGCAAAAUAAAAAACAGAAAGAGAAGUCAUCAAGGCAUUCCACAUCCAUCUUAUUCAGUCUUUACAGUGUUGCUACAUCACCAUUUGCUUAGCCUCCUAUGCCAAAAAAACUUGACGAAAAUAAAAUGACCUGAUUUCCAUGUUUUUCACCAUCCAA
Dermacentor albipictus is the source of this 377-nucleotide non-coding RNA. NCBI's taxonomy places the organism in Eukaryota, Metazoa, Arthropoda, Arachnida, Ixodida, Ixodidae. The record is from RefSeq and is a predicted model, not a curated record.